GGAAAAUAGGUACCCUGUGUAGCUCCAGGGAGUCUAUAAAUUAGCAACCCACCUUUCUUUCUUUCCUUCCUUCCUUCCCGCCUUCCUUCCUUCCUUCCUUCCUUCCCUCCCUCCCUCCCUCCCUCCCUUCCUUUCUUCUUCAACUGGCAAAGAGUUAAACUUUUUAUUUCUUUCUAUGUCUUACCUCAGAUGUUUUUAAUCUAGGCAGAGAGUAUGACAAUCCAAGGUCUAUAUUAAGCUGAACUGGGGCAUUGAAGACACUUUCUAGACUCAACUGAGGUUCAGAGAAGUGAAGCAACUUGCCUGGGCCACUCCAAUAGGAACCGAGCUCUCUAAACUCCUUCCUUCAGAUCCCAGUCCUGUCCAAGGAGCAGCACUUUUUGGUAUCCAUAAUUGACUGUAAAAUUGACAAGAAGCUUUGUAUAUUUGCCCAGCAAACAGAAAGAAACCAGGGAAAUGGUUUCUUUGGUUUUGUGACUUCUCUGAAAUCUCUUGUUGGAAAGCAUGAUUGCCAACAUCUGUCCCUCCCCAAAAGCUUAUUAUGGAGUUUUCCUGUCUAGGGUUCUAAGCUAGGACAAAAUAAAGGUAACUAAUGGUUUUGAGAAGUUAACUAUGUUUUCUGCGUGCAUUAUAAAUCAUUCACAGUCACUUUUUGAUGUCAACCUGAAGAGAGCUCACAUUCUCCUGCUUCUUUCAAAUGUAUACAAAUAUGGAAAGAUUUACUUUGGCUUCUCAUCUUGUUUCCUAAGGCAUGCUAGUCAAAAGCCUGCCACCCUCUUUUCUAUCUUGAAA
RNAcentral lists this long non-coding RNA (792 nucleotides) under Homo sapiens (human). RNAcentral's name for it is "HSALNT0010095". The record is from RNAcentral. Lineage: Eukaryota; Metazoa; Chordata; Mammalia; Primates; Hominidae.